AGUGCUAAAGGCGGAUGCCUUGGCAUCUAGAGGCGAUGAAGGACGUUGUAACUUGCGAUAAGCCCCGGUGAGCCAGUACACAGGCUAUGACCCGAGGAUUUCCGAAUGGGGAAACCCGACAUUUAUGUCACCACUUUUGUGGAGCAAACCCGGAGAACUGAAACAUCUUAGUACCCGGAGGAAAAGAAAUCAAUUGAGAUUCCGUUAGUAGUGGCGAGCGAAAGCGGAACAGCCCUUAAGCUAUAUUUUGUCUAGUAGAAUGUUAUGGAAAGAACAGCCAUAGUAGGUGAUAGCCCUGUAUACGAAAGACUUAAUAUAGUGAAAUCGAGUAGGUCGGAACACGUGAAAUUUUGACUGAAUAUGGGAGGACCAUCUUCCAAGGCUAAAUACUCCUAGAUGACCGAUAGUGAACAAGUACCGUGAGGGAAAGGUGAAAAGUCCCCCUGUUAGGGGAGUGAAAUAGUACCUGAAACCUUUAGCAUACAAUCAGUCAGAGCCCUUCGGGGUGAUGGCGUACCUUUUGUAUAAUGGGUCAGCGACUUAAUUUCAGUAGCAAGCUUAACGUUAGGUAGGCGUAGGGAAACCGAGUCUUAAAUGGGCGACAAGUUGCUGGAAUUAGACCCGAAACCAAGCGAUCUAUCCAUGGUCAGGUUGAAGUGUGAGUAACAUCACAUGGAGGACCGAACCCACUUAUGUUGAAAAAUGAGGGGAUGAACUGUGGAUAGGGGUGAAAGGCCAAUCAAGCUUGGAGAUAGCUGGUUCUCUCCGAAAACUAUUUAGGUAGUGCCUCUUGUAUUACCAAUGGGGGUAGAGCACUGUUUCGGCUAGGGGGUCAUCCCGACUUACCAAACCGAUGCAAACUCCGAAUACCAUUGAGUAUUAGCAAGGGAGACAGACUACGGGUGAUAACGUCCGUGGUCGAAAGGGAAACAACCCAGACCAACAGCUAAGGUCCCAAAUUAUGAUUAAGUGGAAAACGAUGUGAAUAGACUUAUACAGCUAGGAGGUUGGCUUAGAAGCAGCCAUCCUUUAAAGAAAGCGUAAUAGCUCACUAGUCUAGUUUGUCUGCGCGGAAGAUUUACCGGGGCUAAAUCAUAAACCGAAGCUUUGGAUCAUCUUCGGAUGAUGGUAGGAGAGCGUUCUGUAAGCCUGUGAAGGUGAACCGAGAGGUUUGCUGGAGGUAUCAGAAGUGCGAAUGCUGACAUGAGUAACGAAUAAGGAGGUGAAAAACCUCCUCGCCGGAAGACUAAGGAUUCCUGUCCAACGCUUUUCGUGGCAGGGUUAGUCGGCCCCUAAGGCGUACCCGAAAGGGGAAGUCGAUGGGAAACAGGUUAAUAUUCCUGUACCAGUUGGAAGUGACGGAUCUAGUAAAUUGUAUACACUUAUUGGAUUGUGUAUGCCGUGAAUAGGUUCCAAGAAAUAGCUCCAACAUAGACCGUACCAUAAACCGACACAGGUGGUCAGGUAGAGAAUACCAAGGCGGAUGAGAUAACUCUGGUGAAGGAACUAGGCAAAAUGUAACCGUAACUUCGGGAGAAGGUUAGCCAACUUUAAGGCAACUUUAAGUUGGUCGAAGAUACCAGGUGGCUGCGACUGUUUACUAAAAACACAGCACUCUGCUAACACGAAAGUGGACGUAUAGGGUGUGACGCCUGCCCGGUGCCGGAAGGUUAAAUGAUGGGGUUAGCUUCGGCGAAGCUCUUGACUGAAGCCCCGGUAAACGGCGGCCGUAACUAUAACGGUCCUAAGGUAGCGAAAUUCCUUGUCGGGUAAGUUCCGACCUGCACGAAUGGCGUAACGAUGGCCACACUGUCUCCACCAGAGGCUCAGUGAAAUUGAAAUAGCUGUUAAGAUGCAGUUUACCCGCAGCUAGACGGAAAGACCCCGUGCACCUUUACUACAGGUUCACACUGAAAUUUGGUUUUAUAUGUGUAGGAUAGGUGGGAGACUUUGAAGCUUGGACGCCAGUUCAGGUGGAGUCACCCUUGAAAUACCACCCUUGUAAGAUUGACUUUCUAACUUUGAUUUAAUCAAGGACAGUGUGUGCUGGGUAGUUUGACUGGGGCGGUCUCCUCCUAAAGAGUAACGGAGGAGCACGAAGGUAUCCUCAACACGGUCGGACAUCGUGUGUAGAGUGCAAAAGCAAAAGGAUGCUUGACUGCGAGAUCGACGGAUCGAGCAGGUAGGAAACUAGGUUUUAGUGAUCCGGUGGUUCUGAAUGGAAGGGCCAUCGCUCAACGGAUAAAAGGUACGCCGGGGAUAACAGGCUGAUACUGCCCAAGAGUCCAUAUCGACGGCAGUGUUUGGCACCUCGAUGUCGGCUCAUCUCAUCCUGGGGCUGGAGCAGGUCCCAAGGGUAUGGCUGUUCGCCAUUUAAAGAGGUACGCGAGCUGGGUUUAGAACGUCGUGAGACAGUUCGGUCCCUAUCUGCUGUGGGCGUUUGGAGAUUUGAGGGAAGCUGAUCCUAGUACGAGAGGACCGGAUUGGACGAACCUCUGGUGUUCCGGUUGUCACGCCAGUGGCAUUGCCGGGUAGCUAUGUUCGGAAAGGAUAACCGCUGAAAGCAUAUAAGCGGGAAGCCUCACCUAAGAUGAGAUCUCCCUUGA
This 2606-nucleotide ribosomal RNA is filed under the name marine metagenome. Its description in RNAcentral is "bacterial LSU rRNA". It matches the Rfam family "Bacterial large subunit ribosomal RNA". The record is from RNAcentral.